CAGUAGCCGCGGGAAUACGUAGGUGGCAAGCGUUGUCCGGAUUUAUUGGGCGUAAAGCGAGCGCAGGCGGUUUCUUAAGUCUGAUGUGAAAGCCCCCGGCUCAACCGGGGAGGGUCAUUGGAAACUGGGAGACUUGAGUGCAGAAGAGGAGAGUGGAAUUCCAUGUGUAGCGGUGAAAUGCGUAGAUAUAUGGAGGAACACCAGUGGCGAAGGCGGCUCUCUGGUCUGUAACUGACGCUGAGGCUCGAAAGCGUGGGGAGCGAACAGGAUUAAAGACCCGUGUAGUCCCUGUCUCUUAUAC
This 301-nucleotide ribosomal RNA is filed under the name uncultured bacterium. RNAcentral describes it as "partial 16S ribosomal RNA". It matches the Rfam family "Bacterial small subunit ribosomal RNA", at positions 509 to 807 of the family's 1533-position model. The record is from RNAcentral.